UACGUAGGGUGCGAGCGUUGUCCGGAAUUAUUGGGCGUAAAGAGCUCGUAGGCGGUUUGUUGCGUCUAUCGUGAAAACCUGGGGCUUAACCCCGGGCCUGCGGUGGAUACGGGCAGACUUGAGUUCGGUAGGGGAGACUGGAAUUCCUGGUGUAGCGGUGAAAUGCGCAGAUAUCAGGAGGAACACCGGUGGCGAAGGCGGCAUCCUGGACCAUUACUGACGCUGAGGCGCGAAAGCUAGGGGAGCAAACGGG
Molecule: ribosomal RNA, 253 nt
Filed under: uncultured bacterium
Lineage: Bacteria
Description: partial 16S ribosomal RNA
Rfam family: Bacterial small subunit ribosomal RNA
Source: RNAcentral